This 711-nucleotide ribosomal RNA is filed under the name Triticum aestivum (bread wheat). RNAcentral's name for it is "partial small subunit ribosomal RNA". The record is from RNAcentral. Lineage: Eukaryota; Viridiplantae; Streptophyta; Magnoliopsida; Poales; Poaceae.
AUGGCCGCGUCAGCGUCGGCGGCGGGCGGCGAGCCCCAGAAGCAGUUCCUAUCCAUCAUCCGCGACUUUGCCGCCGAGAAGUCCCACGGCGAGCGCACGGUGUCGGGCCUGAAGCGCCGCCUCGACGACGUGGUCUCGGCGUCCGACGCGGCCACGGCGGAGCUCGAGGCCGCGAAGCGCGCGCGGGAGGCGGCGGAGACGGAGCUGCGCGGGAGCGAGGUGCAGGCCUCCAUCGCAGACGCGUCGAUACAGGCGCUCGAGGCGACGAUCUCUCAUCUCCAGGAGGAGAUCGCGAAGCUGGGCUCUGAACUGGAGGCGCUUAAGAGCACGGAGGACAUCGAGAGAGAGGAGUUCUUGAGACAGAUGCAUGAAAUGAAUGCUAGGAUAAGGCAAUUUCAACAGAAGGCUUCUGCAGAAUUAGCAGAGAGGUGCUCUGGACCGCCAUCAGCAGAUGGUAAGCAAGGCAAGUCAGCAGAGGGUCAAAAUGGGAGCGACAUGAAUGAAACUAUGGACUCAGAAGGUAUGUUGACCGAUUCGGUUGAUCAGAUGAACAACAUGAACGCUGAGGUGCAUGUAUUGGAGGAAGAGUAUCAAAAGGACCUGCUUGAACUUGAAAAGGUUCUUCUCUCCAUUCUUUCACCCAAUAUUGUGUUAUUUAUUAACUAUUCAACUAUUCAAAGGAUGCGAUACACUUGUUUGGUUUUCUCUUGA